This 506-nucleotide ribosomal RNA is filed under the name uncultured bacterium. RNAcentral's name for it is "bacterial SSU rRNA". It matches the Rfam family "Bacterial small subunit ribosomal RNA", at positions 8 to 518 of the family's 1533-position model. The record is from RNAcentral.
AGAGUUUGAUCCUGGCUCAGGAUGAACGCUGGCGGCGUGCUUAAUACAUGCAAGUCGAACGAAGAUAUUUCGCCGAAGUUUACUCAUUGAGAUAUCUUAGUGGCGGACGGGUGAGUAACGCGUGGGUAACCUGCCUUACACAGGGGGAUAACAGUUAGAAAUGACUGCUAAUACCGCAUAAGCGCACAGUUAUCGCAUGAUAGAGUGUGAAAAGAUUUAUCGGUGUAAGAUGGACCCGCGUCUGAUUAGCUAGUUGGUGAGGUAACGGCCCACCAAGGCGACGAUCAGUAGCCGGCCUGAGAGGGUGAACGGCCACAUUGGGACUGAGACACGGCCCAAACUCCUACGGGAGGCAGCAGUAGGGAAUAUUGGACAAUGGGGGAAACCCUGAUCCCAGCGACGCCGCGUGAGUGAAGAAGUAUUUCGGUACGUAAAGCUCUAUCAGCAGGGAAGAAAAUGACGGUACCUGACUAAGAAGCACCGGCUAAAUACGUGCCAGCCGCUGC